GACGAACGCUGGCGGCGUGCCUAAUACAUGCCAGUUGAGCGAUGAAGAUUGGUGCUUGCCCCAAUUUGAAGAGCAGCGAACGGGUGAGUAACGCGUGGGGAAUCUGCCUUUGAGCGGGGGACAACAUUUGGAAACGAAUGCUAAUACCGCAUAACAACUUUAAACAUAAGUUUUAAGUUUGAAAGAUGCAAUUGCAUCACUCAAAGAUGAUCCCGCGUUGUAUUAGCUAGUUGGUGAGGUAAAGGCUCACCAAGGCGAUGAUACAUAGCCGACCUGAGAGGGUGAUCGGCCACAUUGGGACUGAGACACGGCCCAAACUCCUACGGGAGGCAGCAGUAGGGAAUCUUCGGCAAUGGACGAAAGUCUGACCGAGCAACGCCGCGUGAGUGAGGAAGGUUUUCGGAUCGUAAAACUCUGUUGGUAGAGAAGAACGUUGGUGAGAGUGGAAAGCUCAUCAAGUGACGGUAACUACCCAGAAAGGGACGGCUAACUACGUG
Molecule: ribosomal RNA, 497 nt
Filed under: uncultured bacterium
Lineage: Bacteria
Description: partial 16S ribosomal RNA
Rfam family: Bacterial small subunit ribosomal RNA
Source: RNAcentral